CUUAUAACUGGGAAGAAAGCGGUGAGUUUUGAUGGGCCAGAAGAGGAGAGGAACCUAGCAAUGUAUGUGCUUUGUGCAAUGAAAGAAGAUCGGUUGGAAGAAGUUGUGGAGAAAGCGAUGAUGGUGAAAGAGGCAAGUUUUGAGGAAGCUGUUAAACAAGUGGCUAAGGUAGCAAUGAAAUGCUUGAGAAUUAAAGGGGAAGAGCGGCCCAGCAUGAAAGAAGUGGCUAUGGAGUUGGAGGGAGUGCGAUCAAUGCAAGUUCAACAUUCAUGGGCUAAUAAUAAUGAUUCGUCCAACUAUGAGGAAACGAUAUGUUUAUUGGAUGUGGAAGCUUCAGACUCGAACAAUUUUGCUUCGCGUGGCACUACGAGUAUCGUUGGGGAUAGCAUAAAAGCUUCAAUUUUGCCGCACAUUCACCAUGGAAGAUGAUUUUAUAUCUUAUUUAUAUACAUACUUCCUUAAAUAUAAAGAGCAGAAUUUUCGUAUAGAAUUUAGAUUUAUAAGUUAGAUUAUAUGUAUAUGCUACAUUAUUCUGAAACUUGAUAUAUAUUAUUGUUGUAUAAUGCUUAACGGGUUGAUUUAUAUUUCGUUUAUGAAUGCUUUUGGGAGACCAAAAUGCAACUUUAGAAAAUUUUAACCAUUUUUAGAUGUUCGGUAAAAUAGAUGGUUCCUUAAUUUUUUAAAAUAACUUUUUUUUUCUAAUUUAUCAUAUCAAUUAACAAGUGUUUUAAACUAAAAUCUCAUCCUUUUAUAUCCCUUCAAAAGAAGAGUAUCUUCACAAUAGCUAAAAGUUGUUAAAUUAAAAUUUCUCGAGUAGUGUUACACACCACCCCACAAAAUGUCCUUAUCCUCGCGUUGUGGCACUCGAACACGACUUGAGGAGCCUUGACGUCUGUUAGCAAAACACCAUAACACUCGAUUUUAAACCUUUGAACCUUGAACUUUACACUUAAAGCUUAGCUCGAACUAGGACUCUUAAAACUACUAAGCGAUAAGGGAAAAACAACAACGCAAGAUAAAUAAACGAACUCUUUAUUAACUUAAUAACAUCCGUUGAAGAUGCAUAAUACAUUCUUUCUUGAAUAGAAAGAUUUAUAACAAACUUCAAACUUCGAACGUGUAGCAUAGCUUCUUCAAAUUCAAACUUUAGAACACACCUGGCUCUCGCCUUAACACGUAGCAGCUCACCUUACUCUUAUCAACUUGACCUCAACGCCUUUGUAGGUAGCUUAGUGGGUAACUGUGCUUGUCAGCCCAACCCCCCUUCCAACCUUAGUUCAGAUCUUACUUGUGUAGCCUUUUUUUUAGCCGUCAAUAAAUUUUAUGAAUCUACUACUACUUGUAACCUGGAAAAGGAAAACUUAAAACAUAGAUCAAUUACACAAUGAGUGAGGUUUUAAAAAUCAUUUUUGGGACAUAAAAAUGAAUCACAUAAGUUCAUUUUCAUAAACAAGCUCACAACGCCUCUUUCAAAACAUAUACACACACAUUAACUUCUACUUAUUUCUUUUACCCAAGAACAUGAACUAUUCACAUGCAUAAACUACUGCGAUUUCUCAUAUCCUUCCAGAAUUUUCUAAUUCAGGUGGUUAACUCAAUACACUACCUGUCAAGUAUUGGUCCACUUGACGCUUUUCAAUGUAUCAAGUAAUCCAGUGCCAAGAAUAAAGAUUAAGUUUAUGAGAUUAGUUGACAUUUUUUAUGUGUAAAAAAUUGUUUUCUUAACAUGUUUUACACAUCAAGAAUGUGUUUAUACUUAACAUGUUUUACGUGUCAAUAACUUGUUUAAAACAGGUCAAAUUUUGUUUAUUAUUUACAAGACUUUUUUCUUCAAAUGAAAAGUUGUACCGUUAUAUUGACCCAAGACUUGUUUAUGUGUAUUCUUAACAUGUUUUACACAGUUAUAUUGCACCACCUGUUUUGAAGCACAAAUUUGCUAGGGCACUUGCAAAUAUAGAAAAAAAAAAUUAUGAUAAUAUGACCCAUAUCACUACAUUUUCUAAAUUGUAAAAGUAUAAAAUUUAAAAUUAAUAAUCAUAUGAUAGCCCUAUGAUAUCACUAAUUACUUAUCAUAUUUGUCAUAGUCACAAUAUGCAAAAAAUAGGUGUCAUAGGCUAUAUUUUUCUAAAUUUUUGGCAUCUGAUGCAAUUUCUCAUUUGUUAAACUACGCAUAUUAAUUGAACAAUUGAAUCAAUUCAAACUUUCCAUCAAAGAACUAAUAUGGUAACAAUUUGCAUAUAUCACUUAACCAUCCAUAUAGUUGGUCAUUACAUAUACUUAAAUACAAUAGUCCAAACUUCUACCACAUGAAAAAUCUUAAAGUCUGUCACAUGUAAAUAUACGAGGAAAAGUUAACAUUUGGUCUAUGCUCAGGAUUCUUUCGUAACAUGCCCUUAAUAAGUGUCUUCCUCAUGUAGAAAAGAGUAAUGGUUUUAAUAUUAGACUGCACAAGAACUAAAGAAUUAAGUCGUCUCAAUUUACGAAGUUAGUUCUUCAGGCAUAUUAUUUUUUCGUUAAGAAAAUACAUAUGCUAGCGAAUAAUGUGCCGCUAUAGUCAUAAAUGCAAAAUAAUAAAUGAACAUUUCAGAAAUCUAAAAUAGCAAACUCCAUCCUCUUGUUAAUAAAAGUUGUUCAUAAUUUAGGAAACAAGAAACCUAAAGUGGGAUUGAUUAAUGAACAGGUUGCUAAAAAACUAAGGAACCCAUGCAAAAAAGAAAAACUGAAAAAAGAAAGAAAGAAAAAAAACUUGGUAAUCAGAUCUUUAAUUUCAACCAGGACACUUUUUGUGAGUUUGGACACUGUAUACCUUUGUAAAUAAUAUCAUUAUUUUCAAUGAAUGCUUGGUUUGCUACAAAAUAAAUAAAUUCUAAGGAUAUUUGAUUUUUCAAAACAUCAUAUCAUAAUGCAAUAAACUUGAUUAAACUGUAGUUUUAGACUUACAAGGAUGGAGAAUAGCAGGAUGGCAAGGGACCAAAGGAUGAGCGAUUAAUUUUACUAAUGAGUCAUGUCAUAUCAUGAAAAUAGUUAUCCAAUGUCAAAGUAAUCAUUUAUUAAGAAGAUAAAUGCCUUUAGCUUAAGCAUCAUAUGCAUAAAUGAGACUUUAAAGCCCACCAAGUUUUGGAGGAUGCAUAAAAGCCCUAAAAUCCCUCAAACCAAAAUUUAAAUAUAAUUAGUGAAAAUACACCAACUCUUACACAAGCUUAAAAUAUUGGGCAAUGUGUGGCCAUCUCAUACUCCACAAAUAUAAACCCUGCCCAAACGAAACUAUAUUAAGCAAUUGAAAGAGAAAGAUUAAAGUUGUGGAGUUGAGACCAUAGUUUCUUGGUUCCAUGAAUAAUUUAGACGUUGAGUUUUUGGAGUGAUUCACAUCAAGUAUGCAAAAAAAUAGUAUACACGAUGGAAAAAUAACAUAAAUUACAUUUAAAUAUUGGGUGAUGUGCGGCCAUCUCAUACAUAAUACCGAAUGAAAAAAAUAAUUUUGCUUUUGAUGUAGUGGUUGUGCCCCUCUGCACAACCCCUUGGUUGUGAGUUUAAAUCUCAUCUACUACAAUUAUUUUUACGAAAUAGUUUUUUUUUCCAAAUAUCAAUAAUUUUUUUCCUCAAUAUCAAAUUUCUUACUCAAUUAUUAUAAAAUAGAUUUAUUAUAAACGUCAAUCAAUUUCUUUUCCCAAAUAUCAAUAAUUUUCUUCCCAAAUAUCAAUAAUUUUCUUUUCCUAAAUAUCAAAUUUCUUCAUGAUUUCCUAAAAGGAAGAUAUCAAAUUUCUUCCUAAAUUUCAACGAUUUUGCAAAAGGAAGAUAAUUUGAUUUCCUAAAAGGAAGACAAUUUUUUAAAAAGAGAAAAAAAAACUCAUAUAUAACCCUAACUUAUUUCCUAGACCGAUGAUCCAAACUUUCACUCCAAAAUCGGUGAUCCAAACUUUCACUCCAUCAACAAUAUUUCAUGAAAAAUAUAUUGUUCUUUUUUCUUUUAUGCAAAUUUUUAAUUCACAUAUUUACAUUAAAAAUAAAUCAUGUGAAAAUUGCCAGUCUUUUUUUAUUGCUACAAAUGUAGUGAAUGUUAUUGAACAUCAGUGAAACGUCGAGAUAUUUUUUUAACAUUUUUAGUGUGUUUAUCAUAUAGUGUCUGAUGCCCCUGUUCACACGAGAUUUCGAAGAAAUGUAUUUCGUGGAAUUGAAAUUUGCAUAUUGAUCAAUAUUGUGAAUACAAUCUCUAGUAUUUACUCAUUUGAUGCUUUCUCUCUAAUACAAGAUAAAAACUUUAGAACUUCUUGGUCUUCGGUCUUUAGGAUAUUGUAGUUGCAAGUCUAUUUGAGCUUCAGUCUUUUGGAAUUCAAGAAAAGUUUGAUCUUCCAAGUCUUCAAUCUUUCAGAAGAUGAUGAUCUUGAAACUGAUAAGAACUUUCACGUCUUGAGAGCUUUAUAGAAGUUUGAAUCUUCAAUUCUUCAGUAUUUCAGAGCUUCGAUUCUUCAUUCAACCAAAUACCCCCUCAAAUGAAUGACAAAGGUCUCUAUUUAUAGAGAAAUUUUGUGGCCUUUAGGUGGGCUUUGGCCCAUUUGCUUGUUGGGCUUGGACUUUGACCAAUUUGUCUGUUGGGCUUAGGCUUGGGCCCAUUUGCCUUAUUGGGCUUGAGUCCAUAUGCUUGUUGAGCUUGGACUUGACUAAUCUGCUUAUUGGACUUGAAUUUGGUUGGAUUGAGUAAACUUAAUUAUCAAAAUCCAAUAAAAUAUAAUUAUCGAAUAUUUGUUGUGAUGAUGUGGCAGAAUUUAAUUGGCCGAAAUUUCGUGCUCAACAAAUGUCCCCUUUCGAGAUUAGUGCACGUGUAUGGGUGGACGAGUCUCAAAAACGAUAAGCUGAAACAAAAAAUACUAAGUGAUUUGUUCUUGACUAUGAUUUCAGUUAAUAUGACAAAUUAAUCACACUAUGCAUAAGUGUGGUUAAAAUGCUAUAUGAAGUUUUGGUGAAUUUUGAAUUCAAUUCACAAUUUUUAUUUAUAUAUAUUUUAUAUAUAUAUAUAAAUCGUUUGGAAUAUGGCCAAGAUAUUUUUGUUUUUUACCAAUGACUUUAAUGAGAUAAUUGUGGCUUGAAAUUGAGAAAAUUGAAAUAUUGCCAAACUCAUCGAUUUAAGUCCAAAGUUUUGAUUUUUUUUUUUUUUUUUGCACAAUCUUUUAAUUUGAAUUUGUAGCAAAACUUGUGCUACUGAAAGAUGAAUUGCUCCCAAAUUUAAAUUUUGAAUUUUUUUUAUUUUACUUAAUUUGAAAUUGAAAUAAAUUUAUGCUUUGGAAUAAAGUUUAAAAUUUUCAAACAGAAUAAAAAGCAAAAUUAUUUGGAGAAAGUAAAUUUUUUUUCUUCAAUUAUGUAUUUAGUUAGGAGAAUUUUAUUUAAAAGAAACAUUUUAUUUAUUGAAAUAAUUUGUUAUUAUAUAUAAUAUAUAUAUAUAUAUAUAUAUAUAUAUAUAUAUAUAUAUAUAUAUAUAUAUAUAAAAAUAAAGAAAAAUAUUAGGACUCAAUCCCAACUCCUAACUCAAUCUCAACUCUUAAGAUUUGUUGUUUGUUGAGAAGUAGGAGAAGUUGGAGAUUGAUGCAUUUCUUACCCUAUAAAUAGAGAACAAAGUUGAGAGCAAAAAUCAUUCCCUUCUUCAUCAUCACUUUUUGGCUCUUCAAAAGUUUUUCGAAUUCUUUUUUUUUUUUUGAAUGGUAGCAGCUUAAAGAAAAGAAGAUUUUUUUUUUAAUUCAAGUUAUUUUCACUUUACUACUUUUUUAUAUGUAUUUUCUUUCCUUUUUUCAUUUUCUUUUUCCUUUUGUUUAUUUUCUUUUUUUAAACUGACUUUCACUUUGACCUUUUUUUUUCCUCAUUCCUUGAAGGCUCUAUGCAAGCAUCUUGGCUUCAUGGGUUUGUACAUGAUAGAUGAUGCAACUCUAUCAUGGCGUCCAUUGUUUCUUCGGCUUCUACUUCUUGGGUUUGUACAUGAUAGACGAUGCAACUCUAUCAUGGCGCCCACUGCUGCUGCGACUUAUUGGGUUUGUACAUGAUAGACGAUGCAACUCUAUCAUGGCUCCCACUGCUGCUGCGACUUCUUGGGUUUGUACAUGAUAGACGAUGCAACUCUAUCAUGGCUCCCAUUGCUGCUGUGACUUAUUGGGUUUGUACAUGAUAGACGAUGCAACUCUAUCACGACGCCCACUACUGCUGCUACUUUUUGGGUUUGUACAUGAUAGACGAUGCAACUCUAUCAUGACGUCCAUUGCUGCUAUGACUUCUUGGGUUUGUACAUGAUAGACGAUGCAACUCUAUCAUGGUGCUCACUGCUUCUUCGACUUUUUGGGUUUGUACAUGAUAGACGAUCCAACUCUAUCAUGGUGCCCACUACUUCUUCAACUUUUUUUGGUUUAUACAUGAUAAACGAUCCAACUCUAUCAUGGCGGCCACUGCUACUGCAACUUCUUAGGUUUGUACAUGAUAGACGAUGCAACUCUAUCAUGACGCUCAUUGCUGCUGUAACACAUCGAAGAAGAUGAAGAUAAAUCCUCCUGACUGCAACAUAUGUGAGAAUGAAGAUGAUGAUAGUUGCUGCAACACAUCAAAGAUGCAGUUGAUGACGGUUGCUACAACAGAUCAAAGAUGCAAAUGAAGACGGAUGCUGCAACACAUCGAAGAAGAUGGAGAUAAAUCCUCUUGGCUGCAAUACAUCGAAGAAGAUGAAGAUGAAUCCUCUCGACUGCAACAUAUGUGAGAAUGAAUAUGAAUUCUCUCGGCUGUAACACCUGUGAGAAAAUGAAGAUGAUGACAGCUGUUGUAACGCGUCGAAGAUGCAGAUGAUGACGACUGCUACAACACGUCAAAGAAGGUGGAGAUGAAUCCUCUCAGCUGCCACAUAUGUGAGAUUCGAUGCAGAUGAUGACGACUGCUACAACACGUCAAAGAAGGUGGAGAUGAAUCCUCUCAGCUGCCACAUAUGUGAGAAGAUGAAGAUCUUCUCGACUGUAACACGUGGAAAGAUGAAAGAUGAGGACAGCUGCUGCAACACGUCGAAGAAGCAGAUGAUGACAACUGUUGGAACACGUGAGACAAGAAGAAGAUACUCCACUCUCAGCCACAACAGUUGAGAGAAAAGCUAGAGCUUGCUAAUUUGACUUUGCCCCCUUUCUUUUCUGUUGUAACUCCUCAUGAAUUUCAUUCUCUAUUGAGAUUACAUCAUCGCAGUGAAACAUAAUACCUUUUUUUUUCUUUCGACUGAACUCAAAGUAAACUUUAAGUUGCCUACGUACCCUUUUUAUAACAUAGAGAUCAAGUCAUAACAUAGUUCAAUUGAGUUUUUUUUUUUUUUUCUUUCAUUCACCUUUAAGCUCUUGUGGACUAGGAGCAUCAUGCAGUUUAGGCUCUUGCGAUAAGGAGCUUUUCACAUUUAACAAAUAUUUUCAUCAAAAAUUUGUUCACCUUUUUCAUUUGCAGAAUUAGUGAAUAUAAUAAUUUUUGGCUUCACGAUCAAGGGACCUUCUGUGUUUAUGUCAACAAAUAACUUCCUCUUCAUGCGUGAUGAGACACAACUGCGUAUCUUCUCGCCAUUAUUUUCUUCAUGAAGUGAUUUUACCUUCAAAGUUUUCAUCUCUUUUUCAUGUUGAUCACUUGUCAUAUUUAGUCUAUCAAAAACAGAUGUUGAAGGUUGAUAUUUCUUUGAUGUGGAGAUACUUAGCCUUUUGAAAGCUAAAGUUUGAGUGGAAGUAGAUGUUAAACAUUGGUUUUCUUCUUCUUUCAUGGUCAUACUCAAUCUUCGAAAGACUGAAGAUCGAGUAGUUAAAGGCUUGAUAUGAUCAAAGACAGAAGUCUUUUGCUUAAUUUCAUUUUAAUUUUCGAUUUCUUCAGAAGAUGCAUAAUUGUUGUCGACUUCUGUUAUACUGACAACAUGACAUGCAAUUACUUCUAAUAUUUCCUUGGGAUGAACAUCAAGGAAGCUUUUUAGGAGGAAUUUCCUCAAAGUUAUCGACCGUCGAGGCCGACAGAAGUCCUCGUUUUUUUCUUUCACAGGCUUAGGCUUCCACAUCUUCUUGUUUAUUUUUUCCUUCAUUUUUUGGGAGAUGCGUUCUUUUGCAUGCUUUUGACGAAAUGACGACUCCUUUUGAAUGAAAUUUGGUUGUCUUUCUUUUCGAUGAGUCACAACUAUCCAUCCUUCGUCAUCAUCUUUAACAUGCUCUUCUUUGUUUUGGGAGUUUGUCGUCACGUUCCUUUGUUGGAAUUGGACAAAUGUAGGUCCAAACGUCCCAAACUGAAUUAAGCUUUUCCUUUGAUCAUAAUUUGUGUUGAUGGUGGAACACUUGAAGUCAUCUCGACCGCAACAUGAUUCGUCUCAGCUAAUUCAUCAAUAUCUAGCUCGAUCUUCUUCUCACGAGCUAACUUUAGAAUCAACUCUUUUAACAUGAAACACUUUCCAACAGGGUGACUAAUGACCUGAUGAUACUUACCGUAUUUAGGAUCAUUUGCUUUUCCUGCUUGUUCCGGUCGUUUGCAUUCUGGCAGUUGAAUAAGUUUCUUAUCUAGAAGUUGCUUUAACAUGUCUGCAACAUCAGAGUCAGGAAAUGGAUAAACUUUUUCCUGUCUUUCUUUAAGAGUUGAGCGUUGUUUUUCCCCGCUAUCACGCUUUCCUUCAAUUUUUGUUUCUUUUUCUUUUAGAGAAAUAUUUCAAAGGGGUUGCAUGAACAACCAUAGACUCGUUUAUGACACUAUUUACAAUCAUUUUAGUGUCAUCAAUUUCAUUCUUGUCACUUCUAAUUUUUGGAACCAAGAAAUCUUUUGCUCCUUUGCGUGUGAUACUUAGUUCCAUAUCAUGGGCACGAGUCGCCAACUCUUCAAACGUGCGUGGUUUUAUCCCCUGCAAAAUAUAGAGAAGUUCCCAAUGCAUGCCUUGGGUGCACAUCUCAACUGCAGAAAUUUCUAUGAGCUUGUCUUUGCAAUCCAAGCUUAGAGCUCUCCAUCGGUUUAUGUAGUCGAUGACUGGCUCCCCCUUCCGUUGUUUGGUGUUUGUCAACUCCAUCAUGCUGACGAUACAUCAGGUGCUGUAGAAGCGAUUGAGAAAGUCACCCUCAAGCUGCUCCCAACUGUCAAUGGAUUCAUGUUCCAGGUCGAUGUACCAGUCGAAGGCGUUUUCUUUUAGAGUUCGAACGAACUGUUUUACCAACAAAUCUCCUCUCGCACCAGCAAUUUCACAUGUUUCAAUGAAGUGAACAACAUGUUGUCUUGGGUUACCCUUUCCAUCAAACUAUUGGAACUUGGGUGGUUGGUAUCCAUUCGGCAUUCUAAGAUUGUCGAUCCUCUUCGUAUAUGGUUUGGAAUACAAAGAGAGAGUUUGAGCAGGUCCACCGUAUUGAGUUUUGAUGGAGUUUGCAAUCAUUUCCUGUAACUACUGAACAAACAGCGAUGCAAUUGAAGUCAAAUUUUGUGGAUGACUUUCCUGCAUAAUUGUCUUCCCUUUGUCAGUAUUUUUUACAGUAUGUGUAUGGCUUGAUUCAGCAGUAUCACGACGUUCGAUGUGAUUCUUGAGAGAUGCAAUCUCAUUAUCCUUUUCUUCAACGACCUUCAUGAGUAUGUUGAUCUUCCUUUCCAGCUCAGCCAUUAUGUCUUCAUUUGUAUCCACGCCAGUCACCAUAACUGACAUGAUAUUUGGAUGAGGCAUCUCCUCAUUCGAGCAUUCACAUGAGGAAAUUUGUUCGUCAAUCAAAGGAUUUUCUUUUAUUAUAAUUCCACCUUUUGGUGGUUUGGACAGUUGUCCCAAAUGUUCUUUGCGGCCUCAAAUGAUGGCAUUUCCUAAGAUGAUUGAGGCUUCCUUGAGCGGCCACGAGUAUUUGACUGCUUACCGAUGUCACUUGGAGCUUUGGAAGUAUUGCCUUGAGAUGUCAUGAUAUCUUUAGAUGUUCUUAAAAGAGAAAGAGAUGAAAGGUAGAGAUUGUCCCACUGGGCGUGCCAAACUGUUCACACGAGAUUUCGAAGAAAUGUAUUUCGUGGAAUUGAAAUUUGCAUACUGAUGAAUAUUGUGAAUACAAUCUCUAGUAUUUACUCAUUUGAUGCUUUCUCUCGAAUACAAGAUAAAAACUUUAGAACUUCUUGGUCUUCGGUCUUUAGGAUGUUGUAGUUGCAAGUCUAUUUGAGCUUCAGUCUUCUGGAAUUCAAGGAAAGUUUGAUUUUCCAAGUCUUCAAUCUUUCAGAAGAUGAUAAUCUUGAAGCUGAUAAGAACUUGCACGUCUUGAGAGCUUUAUAGAAGUUUGAAUCUUCAAUUCUUCAGUACAUCAGAGUUUCGAUUCUUCAUUCAACCAAAGACCCCCUCAAAUGAAUGACAAAGGUCUCUAUUUAUAUAGAAAUUUUGUGGCCUUUAGGUGGGCUUUGGCCCAUUUGCUUGUUAGGCUUGGACUUUGACCAAUUUGUCUGUUGGGCUUAGGCUUGGGCCCAUUUACCUUAUUGGGCUUGGGUUCAUCUGCUUGUUGAGCUUGAACUUGACUAAUCUGCUUAUUGGACUUGAAUUUGGUUGGAUUAAGUAAACUUAAUUAUCAAAAUCCAAUAAAAUAUAAUUAUCGAAUAUUUGUUGUGAUGGUGUGGCAGAAUUUAAUUGGCUGAAAUUUCUUGCUCAACAGCCUCUAUGUAAAAUUUCUGGAUCCCCAACUGUGUAUCGCUGAUAGACUCGUAUGAUCUAUCAGUGAUAGACCAAUAUUUACAACAUGGUUUAUCGAUGAUAGACUUCUAUCAUUGAUAGAAUUUGACAAAUUUUGUUAUAUUUGCAAUUUUUUAAAAUGUUGCUAUAUACUUAAUUAUAUUGAAUCUAAUUGCUAAAUUUGAAACUAUCUCUUUUUAUAUUUAUCAUUGUGGGUCUAUGGAUUUUUUUCGUUUUCGAAAUUGUUCUAUACAAAGUAAAUAUUUUACCGGUUUGUUACAUUUUUUAAAAAAAGCCUAUUAAUAAUGUUAUUAUCAACAUAAAUGUCUUUUAAAGAAUAAAAAUAAAAGAUACAUAAUUUUAUAACUGUGUAUAUUAUACUGAAGUUAUUGCAAAUGAAGUUAGAUUGUAAAGUCAUAAAAACUUAUCUUGAUUUUCCUAAUAAAAAACCAAAAUAUUUAAACCAAUUUUUUGUAUCAGUUUUAUUAAAAAAAAAAAAAAACCAAAGCAAUAGACAUACAUGUUUUUUAUUGGGGUUUUUUAAAAAAUAUAGAAAUGCGACAAAAUAUUUGCACUAUAUAGAACUAAUUCAAAAAAACAAAAAAAUAUUCAUAGAUCUACAAUGUAAAACCAAAAAUUGCAUCGUGUAUCAAUAUUCUUAACGAUUUUUUAUCUUUUAUAGUUGAUCUAAGCCAAUAUCCAAUGAUUUUUGUUCACAUCGUGUACUAAUUUAUAUUUAAUUUUUGUUCAUAUCGUGUACUAGUUUAUAUUUCACAUAAUCUUGAACCAGAUAACAUUUUGAAGAAAAAAAAUACAAGAUGACCAUGAUUAAAAAAAUAUAAAAGAAAAAAAAAACUGCAAAAGAAGAGAAGGACGUUGGAAAGGAAAUAAAAAAAAAUGGCAGAAGAGAAAAUGAUGGGAAGAAAGUCAAACGUGAAAUACUUUUUAAAAAUGGCCGAUUUCAUGGAUCUUUUGAUUUUGUUGCCUAAACUAUAAAUAUUUUGAUGUUUUAUUAUAUUUAUGAAAAUUAACAUUUUUUGUUUUUGCUUUUGAUUUUUUUAAACAACUAUAACACAUAAAUUAUAUGGAAGGACAAAACUACUAAAAAUAUUUACAAUUAUAAGAAAAUGUCACAGUCUAUUUGUGUGAUAGAAUAAGAUAGAUCAAGAUAGACUAUUACAUAAAUCUAUCAUGAUCUACACAUAUUAAAGUCUAUCUUGAUCUAUCGCAGUCUAUUGUAAAUAAAUUUUGAAUACUUUGAUUUAUUUUGCUAUAUUUGAAAAUAACACAAAUUAAUUUCUUUUUUAAUUACAAACUGAAUUUCUGAAAUGGGGCUAAGUUAAUGUAGGGUUAUAUUUUUGGAAAAAUAAAAGGGGAAUGUUUUAGUAUGAUAACCAAUUUCUUACUAUUAUUUUCCAAUGGGCAUGCUUCAGUUGACCAUGUUUAUGGACCUUUUCGUUUUCUUUUUCUAAUCUUUGAAAUGUUAAACCUUGAGUCUAGGGUCUUAAUAUCUGUCUAUUUUUUAAAUGUGAACAUGAGAAAAAUCAAACUCGAGAAAAACUGUAUUAUUCCAUGAAGCAGACAUAAAUAGUGACGGUUGUGGUAACCAUUUCAGAUUUUGUAUGAAUAGAAUAGUUGUUAUUGUUUAUAUAUCUAUUAUUCUGGUUCUUAUUUAUAUAUCUAUUAUUCUUGUUUUUUUUAAAGGUAUUUUAUUGCUAAAAGUAGAGAGGGAAUUGAACCUCAUGGCCUUGGCACAACCAACAAAACCAUCAAACAAACUAACCUAAAAAAUAAUUACCUAACAUAACACACAAAUAUAUAAUACUUAUUUGACUUAUCUUUAUGAUGUUUUUAUAACUCAUAUGUGGUUUCCAAUUUUGAUUGUGUGCCACCUUAAAAGACUAUGGCAGAUUGACUUUUGUUUGUAUUAAAUAAAAUAAUGGAACCAAAUACUAACAAGAGAUCCUAGGUUGAGUAAUUAAAAAAUUAAUAAAUAAUGAAAACAAUGUUUCUCCAAACUUUUGUCAUUUAAUUAAUGUGAAAGUAGAAAAUGGCGACCAUUGAAAGCUUGAAAUGUUCAAUAUUGAAGUCUUCCCAUCAUCCCAACAUCUUAAAUAUACUUUCAGUUUCUCUCGAUCUAAUUUAUUAAUUCAGCUUUAAGAUGGAGCGUUUGAGGAAGACUCUUGUGGGUCUCACGGUGAUCAUCUUAUUAUCAACACUGGCCUCAGCAGCCUCACAAGCCAAACCUGAUUGUGAUGAAUGGUGUGGCGACUUACGAAUUCCAUAUCCAUUUGGAGUAAAACAAGGAUGUUAUUUCAACCAAGCAUUCUUAAUUACAUGUGACAAAGCCUUUAACCCUCCAAAGGCGUUUCUAAAGGACACAAACAUUAGCGUUACCAAUAUAUCACUCAAUGGUGAGCUCCACAUGUUGCAGCCUAUAGUCCGAUAUUGCUACGAGGAUGUGCAAUUAGUGAGUGGUACUCCUUUUAUCCCCAACACAACCAACCUUUCUGCACCGGCGACAUUACCGAUUGCGGAUGGCAAAAACAAGUUCAUCGCCAUCGGUUGCAAUACGUUCGGUUUAUUCACAGGGAUGCUAAAGGGAGGUGAAUUUCUAACUGGUUGUGUUGCGAUAUGUACAAAUAAUAGUAUUAUAGUUGAUGGGUCGUGUUCUGGGACUGGAUGUUGUGAGUUGGAUAUUCCAAAUGGGUUGAGUGAUUUGAGUUUGGCUGUGGGUCCAGUGUUACCUGAUACUAAUCGUAGUUUAGUGAAGAAUAAUUCAUGUGGGUAUGCUUUUGUGGUUGGAGAAGAAGGGUUUAAGUUUAAAUCAAGUUUUAUUGAUAAUUUUGAAGAUAAGGAAGUUGAGGUUGUGGUUGAUUGGAGUAUUGGAAAUGAAACAAUAAUUGAUGUUUGUGGAAUAAAUAGUAAAAGGAAUAGUAGUUUCUCUGAUGAUAGAUCUCAAUACCGUUGCCAAUGUCCGGAUGGUUACGAAGGAAAUCCAUAUCUCCCUCAAGGAUGUGAUCAAGGUAUGAAUACCUUACUUUUCUCUACUAAUUUUCCUUCAUAUCUUACAAUUUCAUCAUUCAAGCUACUCAAUUUUCAUCUUACAAUUUCAUUAUUUUUUAAAAGAAUUAAUAAUGAUGUUCGUUAUUAUAAAGGUUAGUGAGAGACAACAGGAAAAUAGAUGGAACGAAACUAAAGACUACAAAAAUUAAGACAAAAUAGAUCGAUCAAGAAUCGACCAAUAAAUAGAAAAUGGUAAAGAUUAAGGACUUGUUUGAUAACCUUUUUAUUUCUUCUUCUCUUUUUGUUUAUCAUCUUUUAACAAACACAAUAGUCGUUUUCAAAUUUUAAGAAAUAUUUUUUAAAAUUGAACAAUAAUUGAGAAAAUAUGAAAAGUAGUUUCCUCCUAGUUAUCUUUUCGUCUUAUUUUAUUUCAAUUUUUUUGUAAUCUAUUAUUGUUUGUUUGCUCAUCGGCAGAGACACGCUUAAAAUCAAUUUUUCCUCCAUUUCUUGAGUUCAACUCCCAUUCUCUUUUUCGGAAAUUUUCAAAAAUAGUAAAUUUUAUAAAAUACUUUCAACUUAUAACAAAUUUUAUCACUAAUAUGCUAGUGAUAAUAGAUUAAAAAUUUUUGCUAUAAUUUGUAUAUAUUUUAAUUUAUUUUACUAGGUUUAGAAAUCUCUCUUCUCUUUUUUCUUCUUUUAUUAAUUUUUCAUAUAUGUUUAAUAUUUUUUCCUUCUUUGACUAAUUCUUCAGAUACGUUUAAUAUUUUUUUAUUUCUUUUAUUUGUUUUUCAUGUAUGUUUAAUAUUUUUUCCUUUCUUUAUUAUUUUUUAUAUUUAUAUAUUUAAUUUAAUUUUAAAUUUAAAUUUUUAAUAUUUAAUUAAUGAUUAUUUGAUUUCAAUUUUCAUUUUUAAUUUUAAAGUUUCUUUUCUAUUUAGCUACAUUUAUUUAUUUUUCGUAUUUACAUCUUUAAUUCAAUUUUAAAUUUAAAACGGUUGAAUAUUUAAAUUUAUAUAUUAUUUUGACCUUUCAAAUUUAGAUAUUUAAUAUGUUUGUUUAAAUAUUUCCUGAAUUGUCAAUUUUAAAAUUUUGCAAUAGACAUGUUUAUAUGUUAUUUUAAAUUUAAAUUUAUUACUUUUAGUUCCUUCUAAAUUAGUUAGAAUUUUAUCUUGUAUAAUUUUUUUUAUUAACAUAUUCAUUUUGGUUAUUUUUAGGAAUUUACAAUCGGUUGAAUUAGAAUCAAAAUUUGUAUUGUAACUUGUUAUUAAUUUUAAUUUUGCAACAAGGAUUUAUGUAUAUUUGAAAAUGUUGAGGUUGUAUAACUACUCUUUUAUAUUUUAAUGAAUUCUAUAUACUAGAAAAAUAAUGGAAAAUGUUAUGAAAAAUAACACAAACAACGAGAAACAAAAAAUAAUUAUCAAACAAAAUUAUGCUUUUAGUUCAAUUUACAAGAACAAUAAACAUAAAUAGUUAUCGAACAUAGUUUUGUUUCUUGUUUUUUUUUUUAAAAAAAAAGAAAGAAACAAGGAACGAAAAACAAGAAACAAGAAACAAAAUACAUAAUUAUUAAACAUGCCCUUAAUAAUCAAGUGCAUGUAAUGAAUUUUUAUGACCAUGAAUAUUUAUCAAAGUUUUAAAGGUUAAUUAGAGCAAUGCUAGGCAAGAAAAUGAUUUCGAUGCAUCGACAGAUUUAGAAUAGGUGAUCUGGAGGGCUCGAGCCUCUGUCAAUUUUAUAUUUUAUAUAUAUGUAUAUAUAAAUUAUAAUAUCAAUACUAAUCACUAACUCAGUGGUGAAACAAGCUUUCAGCUCAUUGUAUACUCAAAGUUAAGUUUCACUUCUAAAUUUUUUUUCAAUAUCAUUUUCGGUGAAUUAUAAAGUUUUGUCAAUAAAUAGUAAGCCCUAAGUUUGUCGGUGUCUAUAUAGAUGAAAAGGAAAAAGAAAUUAUAUAUAGGAAGAUUAAUUUGGUAAUGGAAGUGUUAAUGUUUGUAAUGACUUUAUUGUUCAAUUUAAUUUUGUGGAUUUGUUUAGAUAUAAAUGAAUGCGAGCAUAAAGAGCUGAAUGACUGCACGCACGAAUGCAUUAACACAAAUGGAAGCUAUACUUGCAAAUGUCCUAAAAACUAUAAAGGAGAUGGAAGACGAGGGGAAGAUGGACACGGCUGCACUCGAGAUUCCAAGGCUAUUCCCAUCAUAAUCGGUAUGUUUUUAUGUUCUCUAAUACUUAUCAAAUCUUUUUGUAUGCUUUAAUUCUCCAUAUAUAUGCUUUGAAUAUAAAUAAUGAUAUACGUACCCAAGCAAAAUGUAGGAAUUGGAGUAGGGUUCACUGUUUUAUUAAUUGCUAGCACAUGGAUAUUCUUGGGUUACAAAAAGUGGAAGUUCAUCAAAAGGAAAGAGAAAUUUUUUAAAGAAAAUGGAGGUUUCAUACUUCAACAACAACUUUCUCAAUGGCAAUCCUCCCCAAAUGAAAUGGUCAGAAUUUUCACCCAAGAAGAAUUGGAGAAGGCCACAAACAACUACGACCAUAGCACUAUUGUUGGCAAAGGUGGGUACGGUACUGUUUACAAAGGAGUCUUAGAAGAUGGCUUGGCAGUGGCAAUCAAGAAAUCGAAACUUAUAGACCAAUCCCAAACUGAUCAAUUCAUUAAUGAAGUUAUUGUUUUGUCUCAAAUCAACCAUCGCAACGUGGUCAGACUCUUGGGAUGUUGUUUAGAGACACAAGUCCCGUUGUUGGUGUAUGAGUUUGUAACCAAUGGCACCCUCUUUGAACACAUCCAUGACAAAACCAAGCAUGCUUCACUUUCGUGGGAAGCCCGCUUAAAAAUAGCAUUGGAGACUGCAGGUGUGCUUUCGUAUUUACAUUCGUCAGCUUCCACUCCAAUUAUUCAUAGAGAUGUCAAGACGACCAACAUACUUUUAGAUAAUAAUUACACUGCAAAGGUAUCCGAUUUUGGAGCGUCAAAGUUGGUUCCAAUGGAUCAAACACAAGUAUCCACGUUGGUACAAGGGACAUUAGGGUAUUUAGACCCAGAGUACUUAUUGACAAGCGAGUUGACAGAGAAGAGCGACGUUUAUAGUUUUGGAAUAGUGUUGUUAGAGCUUAUAACUGGGAAGAAAGCGGUGAGUUUUGAUGGGCCAGAAGAGGAGAGGAACCUAGCAAUGUAUGUGCUUUGUGCAAUGAAAGAAGAUCGGUUGGAAGAAGUUGUGGAGAAAGCGAUGAUGGUGAAAGAGGCAAGUUUUGAGGAAGCUGUUAAACAAGUGGCUAAGGUAGCAAUGAAAUGCUUGAGAAUUAAAGGGGAAGAGCGGC
RNAcentral lists this long non-coding RNA (16940 nucleotides) under Cucumis sativus (cucumber). RNAcentral describes it as "long non-coding RNA (CSAT_LNC002404)". Lineage: Eukaryota; Viridiplantae; Streptophyta; Magnoliopsida; Cucurbitales; Cucurbitaceae. The record is from RNAcentral.